Molecule: ribosomal RNA, 493 nt
Filed under: uncultured bacterium
Lineage: Bacteria
Description: bacterial SSU rRNA
Rfam family: Bacterial small subunit ribosomal RNA
Source: RNAcentral
GAUCCUGGCUCAGGAUGAACGCUAGCGGCAGGCUUAACACAUGCAAGUCGAGGGGGUAUUGGUUUUCGGACCAAGAGACCCGGCGCACGGGUGCGUAACGCGUAUGCAAUCUACCUUUUGCAGAGGGAUAGCCCAGAGAAUUUGGAUUAAUACCUCAUAGUAUAGUACUUUGGCAUCAAGGAACUAUUAAAGUCACAACGGCAAAAGAUGAGCAUGCGUCCCAUUAGCUAGUUGGUAAGGUAACGGCUUACCAAGGCUACGAUGGGUAGGGGUCCUGAGAGGGAGAUCCCCCCACACUGGUACUGAGACACGGACCAGACUCCUACGGGAGGCAGCAGUGAGGAAUAUUGGACAAUGGGCGCAAGCCUGAUCCAGCCAUGCCGCGUGCAGGAUGACGGUCCUAUGGAUUGUAAACUGCUUUUAUACAGGAAGAAACACUCCGACGUGUCGGAGCUUGACGGUACUGUAAGAAUAAGGAUCGGCUAACUCCGUG